RNAcentral lists this ribosomal RNA (486 nucleotides) under uncultured bacterium. RNAcentral describes it as "bacterial SSU rRNA". It matches the Rfam family "Bacterial small subunit ribosomal RNA", at positions 28 to 533 of the family's 1533-position model. The record is from RNAcentral.
GAUGAACGCUGGCGGCGUGCUUAAUACAUGCAAGUCGAACGGAGACUGUAGCAAUACUGUCUUAGUGGCGAACGGGUGAGUAACGCGUUGGUGACCUGCCCCGAAGAGGGGGAUAACAGUCCGAAAGGAUUGCUAAUACCCCAUGUGGUCGUUUGGAUUAGAUGCCUUACGACUAAACGGAUUUAUUCGCUUCGGGAGGGGCCUGCGUCCCAUCAGCUAGUUGGUAGGGUAAUAGCCUACCAAGGCGAUGACGGGUAGGGGACCUGAGAGGGUGGCCCCCCAAAUGGAACUGAAACACGGUCCAUACACCUACGGGUGCAGCAGUAGGGAAUAUUGGUAAUCUGGGAAACCGGGAACCAGCAACGCCGCGUGCGCGAUGAAGGCCUUCGGGUUGUAAAGCGCUUUUUAAAGGGAUGAGGAAGGACAGUACCUUUAGAAUAAGCCUCGGCUAACUACGUGCCAGCAGCCGCGGUAAGCUCGUCUCUA